CACGCCGUAAACGAUGAAUGCCAGUCGUCGGGUAGCAUGCUAUUCGGUGACACACCUAACGGAUUAAGCAUUCCGCCUGGGGAGUACGGCCGCAAGGUUAAAACUCAAAGGAAUUGACGG
This 120-nucleotide ribosomal RNA is filed under the name uncultured bacterium. RNAcentral's name for it is "partial 16S ribosomal RNA". It matches the Rfam family "Bacterial small subunit ribosomal RNA", at positions 796 to 916 of the family's 1533-position model. The record is from RNAcentral.